This 365-nucleotide ribosomal RNA is filed under the name uncultured eukaryote. RNAcentral describes it as "partial 18S ribosomal RNA". It matches the Rfam family "Eukaryotic small subunit ribosomal RNA", at positions 592 to 976 of the family's 1831-position model. The record is from RNAcentral.
CAAUAGCGUAUAUUUAAGUUGUUGCAGUUAAAAAGCUCGUAGUCGGAUUUUGGCUGAGAACGAACGGUCCGCCGUUAGGUUUGCACUGUUUGGUCUCAGCUUCCUGGUGAGGAGGUGUGCUUCACGGCCACUUAGUCACCGUGGUUACUUUGAAAAAAUUAGAGUGUUCAAAGCGGGCUUACGCUUGAAUAUAUUAGCAUGGAAUAACACCAUAGGACUCCUGUCCUAUUUCGUUGGUCUCGGGACGGGAGUAAUGAUUAAGAGGAACAGUUGGGGGCAUUCGUAUUUCAUUGUCAGAGGUGAAAUUCUUGGAUUUAUGAAAGACGAACUUCUGCGAAAGCAUUUGCCAAGGAUGUUUUCAUUGA